Small nuclear RNA from Monodelphis domestica (gray short-tailed opossum), 119 nucleotides. NCBI's taxonomy places the organism in Eukaryota, Metazoa, Chordata, Mammalia, Didelphimorphia, Didelphidae. The record is from Ensembl.
CUGUAACUGGAAGGAUGAAGAAUGGCAAUACCCUUGACAAAGAUGACUAAUAGGUCUGUCUAUGCACACACACACACACACACACACAUACACGUAUGUGUGUGUGUGUGUGUGUAUAU